RNAcentral lists this non-coding RNA (164 nucleotides) under human gut metagenome. Its description in RNAcentral is "Lysine riboswitch". It matches the Rfam family "Lysine riboswitch aptamer". Rfam says of the family: Riboswitches are metabolite binding domains within certain messenger RNAs that serve as precision sensors for their corresponding targets. Allosteric rearrangement of mRNA structure is mediated by ligand binding, and this results in modulation of gene expression. The record is from RNAcentral.
CAUAUAGAGGCGCGGAACUUAAAAGUACUUUUAUUCGCAUCGGAUUGAAGAAUAAAACGAAAGGAUUUUCCGCCGAAACGAAAAUUUUUUAUCCGGAAAGUUUUCGUUGGGUUGCAGCGAAAUACGUUGCAGACUGUCGCAAGGGUGCUUGCGGAGAGCUAUUG